Molecule: long non-coding RNA, 2275 nt
Filed under: Sus scrofa (pig)
Lineage: Eukaryota; Metazoa; Chordata; Mammalia; Artiodactyla; Suidae
Description: lncRNA (ENSSSCG00050035193.1)
Source: RNAcentral
AGGAGUUUAUUUAGCAGAUGAAGCAAGACAGCUUUUUCACAAAUGGAACUGAGUUAAAACUCAGACUAAGUGAGACAAUUUCAGUUAAUUUACCUCAGAAUAAAGACCACUUCAAUACCAUAAAAAAUAUAUAUGCAUAUCUUUUGAAUAAAUAUAUCUUUCAGAGUAUCUGUCUACUGAAUAAGUGUUGUGACAGGAAAAAAAUUCCUCACAUGAAUAUUCGUAAAGUAUGUGCAAUAAAUGAAACUACUUGUGAAGUACUUGCUUUUAACACUACUGUCAUCAACAUUUUAACUAAAAUAGUCAUUGUCAGUUCUUGUUGUCAUCAAAAUUGUGAUUCCUAUGAUAGAGACUGGUUUUGUGUUUUCUGAUGCUGAUUUGUUAGAGAGGAAAUUCCUGAUUUUUUCCAAUUCCAGGUCAAGCAUGUAUAAGUGUCUUGCUGUGCCCUCAGCUUUCCUUAUGCAGUUUGCUUUUUUCUAAUCCAACUUUAGUUCUAAAGCAACUCAGAGAGAGGUAAAGAACAUCUUUGUAAAAUUUUACAUUCACCACAAGUGGAAUGUGCACUUUGUAGUCCACCAAAGAAUCAGAAAUAUGCAAAACUUCUUUUGGGUAUUUUACAAAAUCAUCACAAUUCUUAGGCUGUUGCUUUUGCGAAUAAGUUAACGUUUGUCAUUGUGUUCGGGUCGUUCCAAACCUUUUAUCUACUCCAGAUUUGAAUGAACAGCCCAGAAAUUAUCCAGGAGAAAAUUCAAUAACUUUUAAUUAAUUUUGCAUGGCCUGGAGAAAUAGAGAAAUUGCAAGUAACCAGUAAUGUUGCCUGUGUAGGCUGAGUCUCAAAGGUUGACCAGCUCACCCAUUUCAAAGGUAUUUAAAUCCAUUCCCCUCCUAAAGGAACUCAUUCUUAGGGCUGUCUGAUUACCCCUAAAUGCCUCAGUUAAGAUGCCCUUCUGUUUUAGCCUUCAUUAUUCUUUCAGAAGUUGGCAACAUCCUGUACACAUUUUUCUUUCUCCUUACUUGUUUAGAAAACAUUUUUUUUUUGAGAACCAAAUUAGUACACUUACCUCAAUUUUAAGAAUACACACGUAGACUCAUACAAUGAAGUAUGUAAUUACUCUGGUUUUAGGAAGAACAUAUACAGUUUCCCUUUAACUUAAUUCAAUAAACUUCUGUUUAUAUCAGCUUUGUUCAGGGCAGGGUUUUAAAGGCAUGCACAAGGAAAAAGGAUGCCAUGACCCUGAUUCCAAAAGAUGUAGUCCAGUGGGUGGAUGGCAUUCAUAACUAAGCGCAUCACGGUAUAUAGGAUGUGAGAAAUAGGAGAGGAGAGGUAAGAAAGUAUAAGAACACGUUAGAGAAUCAGGAAGAGUUUGCAGUCUGUGCCUUAUCAGACAAAUCUUUAUUAGUCAAAAAUUGAAAGUUGAAGGGUGUUAUAGCACACUUCCAUUAAGUCUCAGUUCUCUUAAUUAAGGUAUGCUGGAGGUGCUUUUGAAUGAAUACAGAGGUUUAAAUAGUUUUCUUCUGUAAAUGUUUAGGAUGUGAAUUCUAAGACAAGGGGACCUAGGAUUUAAAAGCAACACUCAGAAGUAAAGUCAAAUCAAAGAUCCUCCAAAUUAAGAAUAAGUUUUAAAUAAAUUAAAAAUAUGUUUAAAAUCCCUGACCUAAUGUAUAUAAUUCACAACUUCAGUUUAUGGUACAUUAAUGUGGAAUAUCCUCCAUUUAUGAAUAGAUAUUUUUCCAAAUAAUUCUUGUUGAUUUUUUAGCACCCAUCUAUCUUAGGGAAGUGUUUUUCUAAGGGUGGUUCCUGGACCAGGUAGGGCAGAAUUCCUUGGGAGGUGCUUAUUGAAUCAGAAACUCUAGAGCUGGAAACCUAGGAUCUGUGUUGUAACUGUGUUCCAUCCCAGGGAGACUUUAUAUCUGCCAGAGUUCAAUACCAUGGUCUCAGAUUAUAUAAUUUGUUCAGAAAAGUAGUAGAAUUAUAUUUGUUUUCAUAUAUUUCUUGACACAUUUUCACAGACAUACUUCUCCCCUGCUAUUUCUAUUUAGAAUUUCACUAACCUGUUCUAUUUUUCUCUGUAAUGCCCCUUUAUUAAAUAUUGAGUAGAUUGUCUAGACAUCAUUAAAUCACAAAUUCAAAUAUUUUGUAAAAGAAAAUCAAAACAGGAGUUCUCUUGUGGCAUAGCAGGUUGAGGAUGUGGCAUUGUCACUGCAGCAGCCUAGGUGGCUGCUGUGGUGCGGGCUUGAUGCCUGGCCCGAGAAUUUACGUGUGUCACCAGUGUGG